Molecule: ribosomal RNA, 590 nt
Filed under: Hanseniaspora thailandica (nom. inval.)
Lineage: Eukaryota; Fungi; Ascomycota; Saccharomycetes; Saccharomycodales; Saccharomycodaceae
Description: Hanseniaspora thailandica partial large subunit ribosomal RNA
Rfam family: Eukaryotic large subunit ribosomal RNA
Source: RNAcentral
ACAAAGGGGAUCCUUAGUAACGGCGAGUGAAGCGGUAAAAGCUCAAAUUUGAAAUCUGGUACUUUCAGUGCCCGAGUUGUAAUUUGUAGAAUUUGUCUUUGAUUAGGUCCUUGUCUAUGUUCCUUGGAACAGGACGUCAUAGAGGGUGAGAAUCCCGUUUGGCGAGGAUACCUUUUCUCUGUAAGACUUUUUCGAAGAGUCGAGUUGUUUGGGAAUGCAGCUCAAAGUGGGUGGUAAAUUCCAUCUAAAGCUAAAUAUUGGCGAGAGACCGAUAGCGAACAAGUACAGUGAUGGAAAGAUGAAAAGAACUUUGAAAAGAGAGUGAAAAAGUACGUGAAAUUGUUGAAAGGGAAGGGCAUUUGAUCAGACAUGGUGUUUUUUUAAUGUGCAAGUCUCUCGUGGACAUGUGCCUCUGGAAAUUAACACUGGGCCAACAUCAGUUCUGGCGGCAGGAUAAAUCAUUAAGAAUGUAGCUACCUCGGUAGUGUUAUAGCUUUUUGGAAUACUGCCAGCUGGGAUUGAGGACUGCGCUUCGGCAAGGAUGUUGGCAUAAUGGUUAAAUGCCGCCCGUCUUGACCAACGGAACCAAA